Daphnia pulex (common water flea) is the source of this 732-nucleotide long non-coding RNA. RefSeq lists it as uncharacterized. The record is from RefSeq and is a predicted model, not a curated record. The transcript is spliced from 4 exons. NCBI's taxonomy places the organism in Eukaryota, Metazoa, Arthropoda, Branchiopoda, Diplostraca, Daphniidae.
UUUGACGACUCUACCUGACCCUACAAAGUGAGUGUCAUGAUUCUUCAAGGCUGCUCUGCACAAAUUUUACUCCACAAAUUUUAGAUAGGUGUAGACCAAAACAGAACAGCAAGUUUUCAAGGCUGCCAUGCACAAACAAAAGUUCAUUCAUGCCUGUGAAUGAUUGAUGCUUCUGUAUCAUGCAUAUCUCGGUGUGUGUGGAAGUAGUUGUGAAAUUUUAAGUACAAUACCAUGCACUGUCAUUAGAAGCCUUCCUUCAGCAGAUGGAGAGAGGAAAUUGACGACCCAACAUGAGCGAGACUGAGAGAGUCGUGAUUGUUCUUCAGAAUUAAACUGCACCAACGUCUAUCAAAAAUUAUGGAAUGAGACUGAACGAGACUUUGCUUCCGGAAGAAAACUGCGAUGACAGGGGCCGGGCCUACAACACGUUCAACGCGGAUCAUCUAUUUUUGUUCUUGGUAAUAUGUUUGUUUGUUUGUGUUAACCCGUUGGCUGCCACGCCUUUGUUCUCCCCUGUAUUAGCUCCUUAGCACGGGCCCACGCUGUCUGGUCUCAUGGUUUACAUGCCGUGGGGUCGGGCAGUCGUACCAGCCCCAGAUUUCGCCGAAAGGCCCUGUUAGGCAAUGCACCAUAGGGACUUCCCCCUUGUCGAUACGGUGACGGAUUCUAGAGGUUGUGCAUUCCAUCUUCUCCUGUCACCGUGUCAGCCCGGACUUGUCAGCAAUGGCAAGU